AACACAUGCAAGUCAGGGGCAGCACAAGGAGCAAUCUGAGGUGGCGACCGGCGCACGGGUGAGUAACACGUAUGCAACCUGCCUGUAAGCGGGGAAUAACCCGUUGAAAGACGGACUAAUACCGCAUAAUACUAAAUUACUGCAUGGUAAUUUAUUUAAACAUUUAUGGCUUACAGAUGGGCAUGCGCAUGAUUAGCUAGUUGGAGAGGUAACGGCUCCCCAAGGCAACGAUCAUUAGGGGUUCUGAGAGGAAGGUCCCCCACACUGGUACUGAGACACGGACCAGACUCCUACGGGAGGCAGCAGUGAGGAAUAUUGGUCAAUGGACGAGAGUCUGAACCAGCCAAGUCGCGUGCAGGAAGAAUGUCCCUAUGGAUUGUAAACUGCUUUUGCAGGGGAAUAAAGUGCAUCACGUGUGAUGUUUUGUAUGUACUCUGCGAAUAAGGAUCGGCUAACUCCGUGCCAGCCGCGGC
Molecule: ribosomal RNA, 473 nt
Filed under: uncultured bacterium
Lineage: Bacteria
Description: bacterial SSU rRNA
Rfam family: Bacterial small subunit ribosomal RNA
Source: RNAcentral